RNAcentral lists this ribosomal RNA (859 nucleotides) under Erysiphe quercicola. RNAcentral's name for it is "eukaryotic LSU rRNA". It matches the Rfam family "Eukaryotic large subunit ribosomal RNA", at positions 95 to 968 of the family's 3401-position model. Lineage: Eukaryota; Fungi; Ascomycota; Leotiomycetes; Helotiales; Erysiphaceae. The record is from RNAcentral.
GAAGCGGUAACAGCUCAAAUUUGAAAUCUGGCUCUUGCGGAGUCCGAGUUGUAAUUUGUAGAAGAUGCUUUGGGUUGUGGGUUCGGCCUAAGUUCCUUGGAACAGGACGUCAUAGAGGGUGAGAAUCCCGUAUGUGGCCGAGGCCCGCGCCUAUGUAAAGCUCUUUCAACGAGUCGAGUUGUUUGGGAAUGCAGCUCAAAAUGGGUGGUAAAUUUCAUCUAAAGCUAAAUAUGGGCCAGAGACCGAUAGCGCACAAGUAGAGUGAUCGAAAGAUGAAAAGCACUUUGGAAAGAGAGUUAAACAGUACGUGAAAUUGUUGAAAGGGAAGCGCUUGCAACCAGACUUGGGCGCUGCCGAUCACCUUGAGUUUUCUCGAGUGCACUCGACAGCGCACAGGCCAGCAUCGGUUCGGGUGGCUGGAUAAAGGCCGUAGGAAUGUGGCUCUCUUCGGGGAGUGUUAUAGCCUACGGUGCCAUGCAGCCCAGCCGGACCGAGGACCGCGCCUUCGGGCUAGGAUGCUGGCGUAAUGGUUGUAAGCGACCCGUCUUGAAACACGGACCAAGGAGUCUAACAUCUAUGCGAGUGUUUGGGUGGUAAACCCAUACGCGGAAUGAAAGUGAACGUAGGUGAGAACCCCUUUGGGGCGCAUCAUCGACCGAUCCUGAUGUCUUCGGAUGGAUUUGAGUAAGAGCAUAGCUGUUGGGACCCGAAAGAUGGUGAACUAUGCCUGAAUAGGGUGAAGCCAGAGGAAACUCUGGUGGAGGCUCGCAGCGGUUCUGACGUGCAAAUCGAUCGUCAAAUUUGGGCAUAGGGGCGAAAGACUAAUCGAACCAUCUAGUAGCUGGUUCCUGCGAAAUUC